UCGUCAUAUGCUUGUCAGAAGGAUUAAGCCAUGCAUGUCUAAGUAUAAACUAAUUUAUACGGUGAAACUGCGAAUGGCUCAUUAAAUCAGUUAUAGUCUACUUGAUCGUACCAAUUUUUCUUACUUGGAUAACCGUAGGAAAUCUAGGGCUAAUACAUGCUAAAAACACUGACUAUCGGGGGGAAACUCUCGGUUCGGAAGGUGUGAAUUUAUUAGAUUAAAAAAACCAAUGGUGGGGUUCGCCCCACCUUUUUUCCCUAGACGAUUCAUGAUAACGCAUCGAAUCGCGUAGCUUUAGGCCGCGAUGUUACAUACGAAUUUCUGCCCUAUCAACUUUCGAUGGUUGGAUAGAGGCCAACCAUGGUAGUAACGGGUAACGGAGAAUUAGGGUUCGAUUCCGGAGAUGGAGCCUGAGAGAUGGCUACAACUUCCACGGAAGGCAGCAGGCGCGCAAAUUACCCAAUCCCGAUACGGGGAGGUAGUGACAUGAAAUACCGAUGCACGGCUCGAAUAGAGUCGUGACGUUGGAAUGAGUACAAUUUAAACCCCUUAACAAGGAACAAUU
RNAcentral lists this ribosomal RNA (565 nucleotides) under uncultured eukaryote. RNAcentral describes it as "bacterial SSU rRNA". It matches the Rfam family "Eukaryotic small subunit ribosomal RNA", at positions 21 to 549 of the family's 1831-position model. The record is from RNAcentral.